Molecule: long non-coding RNA, 930 nt
Organism: Mustela lutreola (European mink)
Lineage: Eukaryota; Metazoa; Chordata; Mammalia; Carnivora; Mustelidae
Exons: 4
Source: RefSeq, a predicted model, not a curated record
CAACUGUAGUUUAGAAACAGAUGAUCCAUCUUCUGACAUAUGGUCAGAAGGCCAAUAGUAGUCUAACUCGACAUUACAAUGCAUACACAUCAUUCAUUUCAUCUCAACAUGCAGGCAUUUUAUCAUCUCACAUCAUCACAAGAAGGCUAGGUAAAUCUUCCCCAAAAAGGUGGUGCUGAAGAAGGCUGGUGAUUCUGAGAAAAGUUAACUGUGGAGCCGAACCAGGAGCAGACCAUUUACUUGAAGUUUUGGGACGAACCACCUGAUUUGCUUCACUGCUACUGCGAUUGAUGAUCUCUUGAAACUUCUUUCUACGCUCUGCUACUAAACUGAAAACUUGAGCUGUACCAGAAUUCUACCAUUAAAAAAGAGAAAGAAAAUCAAGAGAAGUUAUUCAGUGCUAAGUGUAAAAAUAUGUUAGCGCUACAAUGUUCAAAGUUUCAUGUGAGGAUUUAUUCAAUAGAUUUGUCCUUUGGAUUGCACAUCUCUACGGUAAACUGUUCGAAGAAUGACCAUGACAGGGUCAAACUCCUGAUCCCAGACUUCAGCUAUUAUUCAAAAGAAAGUAGAAACAAAACACUGACUUCAGUCAAUCCUUGAUGACUAAGUACAUUUAAGUAUAUUUUAAAUUCAUAAGAUGGGAUAAUUUAAUUUGAUUAUAUAUUUUCUUUAAUAAGCCUGAUAUUGUGACUACUAUUCUAAGUCAAGAAUCAUAAUUUCAUCAUUAUGAAUAUUAAGUCAGCAAGAACUAAUGAGCAAAAACUAUUAAAAUGUAAAAAAGGUGUUAUAAUGUGAUAAAGCUUCACCAUAAAGGUUUAGUUCAUCUUUUUUUUGUAAAGUGACAACAGAAUGUAAGAAACACAAUGCAUUAACAACUUUGAAAAUAUUCAGAGAUAUAAAUAUGAAAACUAAAUUAAAGAACUAAUGAGC